Molecule: long non-coding RNA, 4544 nt
Filed under: Triticum aestivum (bread wheat)
Lineage: Eukaryota; Viridiplantae; Streptophyta; Magnoliopsida; Poales; Poaceae
Description: long non-coding RNA (TAES_LNC000457)
Source: RNAcentral
UACUUGUACACACACACUGAUAUCGCAUCACCAAAUUGCGGCAUACUAAUCGGAUAAUAUACCAAUAUCGAGAAUGUUAUCACUAUAUAAGCACCUUUACAAGUAAUUAUGAUACACCAACAUUAACUCAACACUUGACAACAUUUCAUUCAUACAAAUAUUGAAUCAACUUCCACACAGAGUGCGCUCGCAGCUGACUUAGCAUAAUGUUUCCAGCUGAACAGAUAAUGUAGAGCAUCAUGUUUCAACAAACAGCAAACUUAAAACUACAUCUUAGAAUCUGCCUCGUCCUCUGAAACCACGCCCUCCACCCCUGGGAGUGCACUUUGAAUCAACUUCCACACAAAGUGCGCUCGCAGCUGACUUAGCAUAAUGUUUCCAGCUGAACAGAUAAUGUAGAGCAUCAUGUUUCAACAAACAGCAAACUAAAAACUACAUCCUAGAAUCUGCCUCGUCCUCUGAAACCACGCCCUCCACCCCUGGGAGGUCCACGACCCCUUGGUGCACCUCUUCCACGGAAUCCACCACGGCCACCAAAUCCACCGCGACCACCACCUCUUCCACCGCGACCACCACCUCUUGGAGUCGAGCCCCUGCAUAUACAACAAGCAAAGCAAAAGACUAUCAAACAACUAACAAGUUAUCAAGCUGUAACUAGACAAAUGCUGAACACUUUAUUUGGUUUCUCAUAUGCAUUUUCCACAUGUACACUAAUGGUACUCCCUUCGUUUCAUACUAAUGCUAAGAAUGCUGCUGAUAUUUUUAUACAGACUUGGUCAAACUUAGCAAAGUUUUGACUUAGGAAAAUCCUAUAACCUCUUUCACACAGACUGUCUGCAAGAGUUUUGACACUGAUGGUUUCAAGUUUGAAGAACGUAGUCAGUUCAAACUUAUCAAUACACUACGAACUGAAUAAGAGUUAGCCAUGAAAAGACAUGUUGCUAAGUUCCAUAUUCAAGACUGAAGAGUAAAUAAUGCAAAAGAAAUGACAGGUAAACAGAUCAUUACUUUGGCUGCGGCAGGAAGCGUGAGAGGGGCAGCAGCUUCAUGGGGUCAAUGAAGAACUUGUCACCUUCGUUGUAAGAUGUUGCAAUGACUCCCUCGAACAUCUUGACCGAGAAAUACUACAGGCAAUACAAAACUUAUAAGAUAUGCAGCAUGAUACUACAGACGAUACAAACUUAUAAGAUAUGCAGCAUGAGCAGACCUAAAAUUUAGAGCAAUGGUAACAACAGAGGUAAAAAAACAAUCAGGUAAGGCAUUCAGUCAUCUUAAAAGUUGCACCUAAUUAUUAAACACGCUACGGCAUUGCCACACAGCCAAAACAAACAUUUUCAACUGUACUAAAUGGAGAACCAAACUCAGUUCUCACAUGCCUUGAGAUUCAAGACUCUAAAUUUGAAGUGGUAAACUGCUAGCUCCAACCGAGCAAAAAAUCCUGCCUAACAACAGAUGGACCAGUUGGUCAAAACUUUGCAGGCACUAUAUUGAUGAUGAGGGGAAGGAAGCGCUUACUGAUUCGUUGAUGGGGCCGAAGAUCUCGUCGACUUUGCCGAUCUGGGUCUUGUUCUGGAGGUAUAUGGGCGCGUUGAAGUAGGGCACUUUCUCGUUCGUCAGCUUCGUUACCGCGUCCCCCUCGCAGGCGUGCAGGAACGUCGACACCUCUGCAUAAUAAACAAACAAAAAAACAAGAGACAUCAAACUCACCGGAGUCUCGAAAAGAAGAGGGCUCGGACAGUUAGGACUUGAAAGAAACCACGCACCGACGACCUCGGCUGGAGGGCCCUCGUCGCGGAACCCGCCGCCGCCUCCACCGAAGCGGCCCCUACCGCCGCCGCCGCGGCCGCCUCCACCGAAGCGGCCACCUCGGUCGCCGCCGCGUCCGCGGAAACCUCCGCCGCCUCUCGGUGGCCGCAUGGCGAUGGGUGUUUGGGGGCGGGGGCGGGGGCGAGGAAGGGUUUCGGCGACGAGGGGUGAGGGGUUUGUUAGGGUUUUAGCGGAGGAGGCCAUACCUGGGCCCAUGAAGUCCAAUAUGGGCCCAAUACUCAUUUCGGCCCAUAUAUAGCAAGAUAUUGGUUGCUCGUUUUGUUUCUCUUUUUUUUAUACUGAUGACAAACAGAUAAUGUUCUGACCCGUUGGCCUCCGCCGAAGAUUAUACUCCCUCCGUUCCUAAAUACUUGUUUUUCUAGGUAUUUCAAAUGACUAUCACAUACGGAUGUAUGUAGACAUAUUUUAGAGUGUAAAUUCACUCAUUUUACUUCGUAUGUAGUCACUUGUUGAAAUGCCUAGAAAGACAAGUAUUUAGGAACGGAGGGAGUAGUAACUAAGGUCAUGUACAAUGGUUGAUAAAAUAGUCUUAUCUUAAGUCUUGUAUGUAAUUUGGAGAUGACAAAAAAAAUGUCUAUAAUGGGUUAUCUCUUAGCCUUAUCUUCAAUAACUAGUUAUUCCUAAAAACGUGGUGAGACAUAUUGUGCUAAUAAAUCAUCUCUUGUCUUCUCUUAAAUAAGAGAAGACAAACCUUUUCUUAUGACUUCUCUCUCCUCCACCUCAUCAUUUAUCCUAUGUGGCAUUGCUAAGAUAGAACCUUUGUACAUGUCCUAAGAAUAAAUCUAGACUAUACGAUAAAGAAAUUACGGCAUAGUACAUCCAUUGGACAUCAAAGUUCGCCACCCAUGAUAAUAAAGCACAACCAGACAGCAGAUUACAUACACUAGGCAUCAAAAGUCGCCAUCAGUGCAAAUAAACGCACAAACAAAAUAAUAUACAGAACUGACAUCAUUUUUAACACACAAAGUGAGGUCCAUCUCCUUAUGAAAUCCCAGGUUCAGGUUGUACACAUAUAAGAACUCUCUCCAAGAGUUGCCGAUGAAAUAUGUUUUUUCUUGAUUAUUGGUGACAUCGACAACAAAAUCGAAUCCUUCUUUUGUCUCAAGCAAAGAUGUAACUUGAGUUAAAACAUAUCUCAUAAUGUUGAUGUGUUUUAAGAAAUCAUUUCUUGCAAAGCAGGGGAUAGCCUGAGAAAAAUGGAAGAAAAAGCCAAGUAUUCUUACAGAGAAUUAUGAACUGAAUAUUCUUACAGAAAGAAGAUUGUAUGUUCGUGAUAUUAUUUUCUAAAAGACUAUACUUCAGAUAACAAUGUGUCAUGUGACAAAACAUGAAAAUUACAAAUAGGUAGACAUGAAUAUGAAAUUGGUAUCCAAACAGAAUUUAUGUAUCCCUAGGUAUUGGUCCGUAAAAUGUUGGUACGAGUUCUAUGUUGAAGUCUGUAUGAAAUCAGGACAUACUAAAAGGACAUGUGGGUUGGUCUAAAAGGCAAAACUUUGGAAACAUAAUGAAAUAAUUAGAGGCAAUUGAAAGAAUAUUGGAUAUACAUCGUGUCCAGUCAAUAAGGGAGCACAUAGUUAUGAAAAAAAUAUAAUUAACUAACUAAUAAAUUAGACAUCUGAUGAACAAGAUUCGAAUAAAUAUUUCAAACUUGCCUUUCUUUCUUUACAGUUUGGUGGAAAAAAGAGGGAAAGGUAGUUGUUCUUCAGAAUGUUGUCCUCGUCGCACAAGCCGCUGAAGUCGUUAGAAAUUGGGCAUUAGAAAAGUGCCAACAACCGGUUUAGUAAAAGAAAAGUACUCGGACCUGAUUUGAACGAGAUUAAGGAUACAUGGAGAUUUACCUCCAUUUCAUGAUUUGCAUUGAGGUCCAUUGGGGUUUUCUUCUGUAGCGCGACUUGCAAGGGGGACGUACCACCGGCAGUAGUUGCAGUGCUCGUCGAUGAUUGUCAUCAUCGACAUCCGACAAGCAAUGGCAGCAACGUCCAGUAGAAGUAUGAAGAGAGUAGAUCUACAGAAUAAUAGUAGAAAGAAAUAAGAUGAGGGGAAAAGAAGAGCGAGAAAGAAGUUGAGGCGUCUGCGAACUACAGACCACAAAAAUUAAUUUUAGGUACCUCGGCUGCACGACUUGUUGGCUAUUUGCAGUAAUAAGUUUUUAGAAAUUUAAGCAGCAGAAUGGGCACAAGUUGCUACGUACUACAAAACUGAAGCUACUAGGUAAGUUCCAGAAGAAAAAAAGUCUGCUUUUUUUUUAACACGGUACAGAUGCAAGCGCUUAUAUACACACGCAUACACUCACCCAUAUGAACACAUACGCACACCCUACCCAUGAGCACCUCCGAAAGACUGAGCCGGUAUAUCAUCUUGAAAUUUACGAAGUUACCGUAGGCAUCUCGUCGUCAACGGGAACGUCUCCUCCCACUGAAUGUGCAUUGCCGGAAAUCCUGGAAUAAAUCCAGGAAUAAAUGCGAGCACAGGAUUUGAACCCUGGUGGGCUGGGGAUACCACAGUCCGUCUAACCAUCCAACCACAGGUUGGUUCGAAAAAAGAAAAGUCUGUUUCGUAGACUAUAACUUCGUAGAACAAGAAUCAAAAUGUUAGGACUAGAAAUGAAAUCAAAUCAUAGAAAAAACAGUGCACUUUGAAGGACGAAAUGGAAAUGAUAUCUGGUAGGGGAAAUUUCAUGAGGAAGGCAACGAAGUCUUUCAACAAAUUAAUAUUUC